This 772-nucleotide ribosomal RNA is filed under the name uncultured Neocallimastigales. Its description in RNAcentral is "partial large subunit ribosomal RNA". It matches the Rfam family "Eukaryotic large subunit ribosomal RNA", at positions 26 to 645 of the family's 3401-position model. The record is from RNAcentral. Lineage: Eukaryota; Fungi; Neocallimastigomycota; Neocallimastigomycetes; Neocallimastigales.
CGCAUCUGUGCAUGCAGCAUAUCAAUAAGCGGAGGAAAAGAAACUAACAAGGAUUCCCUCAGUAACGGCGAGUGAAGCGGGAAGAGCUCAAAUUUGAAAUCUUGAAAGGUCACCUUUCACGAAUUGUAGUUUAAAGAAGUGUUUUCUGUUACGAUCGUAAUAUAAGUUCUUUGGAAUAGGACAUCACAGAGGGUGAGAAUCCCGUCUAUGAUUGCGAUUUGUAGCUUUGUGAUACACUUUCAAAGAGUCGGGUUGUUUGGGAAUGCAGCCCAAAACGGGAGGUAAAUUUCUUCUAAGGCUAAAUAUUGGCGAGAGACCGAUAGCGAACAAGUACCGUGAGGGAAAGAUGAAAAGAACUUUGAAAAGAGAGUUAAAUAGUACGUGAAAUUGUCAAAAGGGAAGCGUUUAACACCAGUGUUGUUUUCUGAAAAUCAACCUCUGUUAGCUUUAUGCAUGUUUGCUUUAGACCUAAUCAGCUAUCUUGCAUGUUCUAUUGUUUGCAGUGGUGCACUUUUCAGUUUACAGGUCAACAUCAGUUUUUUUUACCGUAAAAAAGUUAAAGAAAGGUAGCUCAUGGCUCCGGUCGUGAGUGUUAUAGUCUUUUUCCUAUGCGGUAGGAGAGACUGAGGUCUGCAGUGUAGGCUAUUUGGCUAGAUACUCAGGUGCUAUGUGAUACCAUUUCAUAAACAACUUGUUGAUUAUGUUUUGUCUAUUGCAUACUCGCUUGUACUAUCAUACCUACGCUUAGGAUGUUGAAGUCAUCGUAUCGCGC